UUGUUGCAGUUAAAAAGCUCGUAGUUGGACUUUAGGCAAGGCGGCCUGGUCACCCUCUGGGUGUACUGGGAUCGCUGCGCCUCACCUUCGGGGAGCUAGUCGUGCUUCGGUGCGCUAGGGAACCGAGCCUUACCUUGAGGAAAUUAGAGUGUUUAAAGCAGGCUUAUGCUUGAAUACGUUAGCAUGGAAUAACAUGAUAGGACUUUGGUUCUAUUUUGUUGGUUUGAGGACCAAAGUAAUGAUUAAUAGGGACAGUUGGGGGCAUUAGUAUUCAAUAGUCAGAGGUGAAAUUCUUGGAUUUAUUGAAGACUAACUAAUGCGAAAGCAUUUGCCAAGGAUGUUUUCAUUAAUCAAGAACGAAAGUUAGGGGAUCGAAGACGAUUAGAUACCGUCGUAGUCUUAACCAUAAACUAUGCCGACUAGGGAUCGGUGGAAGUCGAUUUUGACUCCAUCGGCACCUUACGAGAAAUCAAAGUUUUUGGGUUCUGGGGGGAGUAUGGUCGCAAGGCUGAAACUUAAAAGGAAUUGACGGAAGGGCACCACCAGGAGUGGAGCCUGCGGCUUAAUUUGACUCAACACGGGAAAACUCACCAGGUCCGGACAUGGGAA
Molecule: ribosomal RNA, 609 nt
Filed under: uncultured eukaryote
Lineage: Eukaryota
Description: SSU rRNA
Rfam family: Eukaryotic small subunit ribosomal RNA
Source: RNAcentral